This 776-nucleotide ribosomal RNA is filed under the name uncultured Neocallimastigales. RNAcentral describes it as "partial large subunit ribosomal RNA". It matches the Rfam family "Eukaryotic large subunit ribosomal RNA", at positions 23 to 634 of the family's 3401-position model. The record is from RNAcentral. Lineage: Eukaryota; Fungi; Neocallimastigomycota; Neocallimastigomycetes; Neocallimastigales.
AGAGAUGUGUGAUGACGCAUAUCAAUAAGCGGAGGAAAAGAAACUAACAAGGAUUCCCUUAGUAACGGCGAGUGAAGCGGGAAGAGCUCAAAUUUGAAAUCUUCAAGGUUCUACCUUGACGAAUUGUAGUUUAAUAGAAGUGUUUUCUGUUAGUAGAGUGGCUAAAAGUUCUUUGGAAUAGGACAUCAUAGAGGGUGAGAAUCCCGUAUUUGGUCAUUCUUUCUAGCUUUGUGAUACACUUUCAACGAGUCGGAUUGUUUGGGAAUGCAGUCCAAAAUGGGUGGUAAAUUUCAUCUAAAGCUAAAUAUUGGCGAGAGACCGAUAGCGAACAAGUACCGUGAGGGAAAGAUGAAAAGAACUUUGAAAAGAGAGUUAAACAGUACGUGAAAUUGUCAAAAGGGAAGCGUUUGACACCAGUGUUGUUUGGUUGAAAAUCAAUUAAAUAUUUUUCGAUUUUAAGUAGUAUUGACCUUAUCAGCUUGCUGCUUUUUUCUCGGAAAUUAUUUAAUGCACUUUUCAGUUAACAAGUCAACAUCAAUUUCUUUUGUUGUAAAAAGGUAAGAGGAAGGUGGCUUGCGCUUCGGCUCAAGUGUUUAUAGCCUUUUACCCCUGCAAUCGGAGAGAUUGAGGUCUGCAGCGUAGAUCCUUCGGGGUUAGAUACAUUUGUGCUAAGCUAUAGCCUUGUAUAGACAACUUGUUGACUAUGCUCAGUCAUGUAGCUUACUCGCUUAUGCUAUUUUACCUACGCUUAGGAUGUUGAAGAUGUAGCACAUCAU